UUCUCCACAUGUGAUGUUCUUGAUGUGAGAUUCAGAGACAGACUGAAGCUGGAUCAUCAGACUGGAUCUCUGAUCAUCACAAACACCAGAAACACAGACUCUGAAGUGUAUGACGUAACCAUCAGAAGUAGGAAAGAGACCAUGUACAGAUUCAGUGUCUCUGUUACCGUCUCUGCUGUUUUUUAGGUAAAAGGAUCCUGGAGAACCUACAGAUGAAGAAGUGGCAUCUACUUCGACAGAAAUGAAUCGGAGUAGUGGCAAUUUAGGGAAUGAGUUGGAUUCACCUUCAGCAGUUAUGGAUACCAAGGUAAGACCAAUGCAGGACUACUUAGUAUCAUUUUAUAGAAAGAAAUGGUAUCUUUUUUUAACAAAUCUUUU
This is a long non-coding RNA of Carassius auratus (goldfish), 378 nucleotides long. RefSeq lists it as uncharacterized. The transcript is spliced from 3 exons. The record is from RefSeq and is a predicted model, not a curated record. Lineage: Eukaryota; Metazoa; Chordata; Actinopteri; Cypriniformes; Cyprinidae.